RNAcentral lists this long non-coding RNA (400 nucleotides) under Mus musculus (house mouse). Its description in RNAcentral is "long non-coding RNA chr7:124186726-124187126". Lineage: Eukaryota; Metazoa; Chordata; Mammalia; Rodentia; Muridae. The record is from RNAcentral.
AGGGGUCUCCAGUGUUACGCCUUGGUUCUGAUCGCUGUGAACUUCAACUGAACUGCCAACAUGUGAAAUCGGGGCUUGCCCCCCAUGAAACAAGCCAAGGCAAAGGUCUCCUGUUAUCAUCAUCACUAGGAAGGUUCUCAAGUCAAUUCUGGUAAUGAGAUAAUCCAGGGAUCUAGUGACCAGACUCAGAUCAUUCUAGCUAAUUCAGUAGACAUUGCGAUCUAAUGCUAAGAUGUAGAAUCCGAGGCCAGAUUCGUUGCUGCGACUCGAGCUCAGAACUGAUUUCUGGGAUGGGGCUUCCACCUUAGCGGCCAGCAAAGAACAAGGCUGCAGAAAUGAGAUGGCACAGGCAGAAUUGAGGCUGCAUCCUCUCACAGCUAACAAUCCUGACCCUCCAGUC